AUGUGCAAGUUUUGACACAAAUGGAAUGAGAAAAGAUGUUAGAAUAGAGAUGAGGAUGGAAUAAGGAGAGACGACCUGGCGCUGUGCACUUGCAGCCCAGAAAGCCAAUCAUAUGCUGGGCUGCAUCAGAAGGGACGUGGAGCUGUUGGAGUGAGCCCAGGGGAGGCCACAGAGAUGCUGUGAGGGCUGGAGCAGCUCUGCUGUGGAGCCAGGCUGAGAGAGCUGGGCUGGGUCAGCCUGGAGAAGAGAAGGCUCCUGAAGGGGAGACCUUAGAGCAGCUCCAGUGCCUAAAGGGGCUGCAGGAAACCUGGAGAGGGGCUUGGGACAAGGGCCUGUAGGGACAGGCCAAGGGGAAUGGCUUUAACCUGCCAGAGGGGAGACUGAGAUGAGCUCUUAGGCAGAAGCUCUUCCCUGUGAGGGUGCUGAGGCGCUGGCCCAGGGUGCCCAGAGAAGCUGUGGCUGCCCCAUCCCUGGCAGUGUUCAAGGCCAGGUUGUACACAGGGGCUUGGAGCAAGCUGCUCUAGUGGAAGGUGUCCCUGGCCGUGGCAGGGGGUUGAAACUGUAUGAGCUUUAAGGUCCUUUCCAACCCAAACAGAGCUGUGAUUCUGUGAUCCUAUGUUAGCAAAUACAACAUUUAUCUGUUUCUUUACCUGACAGCAUGCUGCCCAGGCAACUUCUUCACAGCAGUGCACCGAUGAUGAGGAGCUGCUCAUCUUGAAGAGAGAAAUCUCAAAUGAAAUCCUGUUCAUGUUGGCAUAGGUACUAUACUUUCAAGGGGGGUGAUGAUGAAGGGGGUCUCUUAAGAAUCCUUUCUUGUUGAUGUUUCAAGAGUCUCUCAGGGUACUGAAAAUGAAUCCUGUAUUUUAGCUGCUGGAAUGCCAGUGUGAGUGCUCUGCCUGCCAUCAGGCCAGCAGCUUUCCAGGCACCAGCUGCUAACGUGCCAUAGUGCUGAAGCACUAACAGCUUUGGGGAAUUCAAACCCCAGGGUCAAAAUAAACUGGGAUUAAGAUGUUAAACAAGAUUUAUUUCUGUUCAGCAUCUCCUGCCUCUCAGGAAAUCCUACUAAUUGAUGACCAAGAGAAAUACACACUUGUCUCUGUAGGAAGAUUGUUCUUCCAGCUAAUGAGAGCAUGUUGUAACAGCUCCUUUUUUCACCAGGAAAACCUAAUCAGGAUAAUAGGGUUGUUAUGUUCUGUUGCUCCUGUCAAAGAUGACAAAAAGGCAAUUUUUUCUCUUUUCUUCCCCCUGGCAAUGUGUUCAUAAGGCAGGAGCCAGCCUGCUGCUGUAUUAAGAGUGGAAGAGAGAGGGAAAGGUGACCUGGGGACAGUCUGGCUCCAGUGGUGGGAAGCUGCUCUGGUAAGGAAGCUGUUAGUUUUGCAGCAGUCAUUGGGAGACAUGGGAUGAAUCACGUGAAGGAGAAAUUGGAGCAUUCCUGUUAAUGACAGCAGAGUUAACAAUUCCCUUACAGCUGUGCUGUCACAGGCUGUGGGGUUUCUCAGCUCCGCAUUAGUCAUGCUCCCUUGGCCUCAGCCCAUGGAGUUACCCCAGGGUUUGGGGCUAGUUUGGACUUGGUGUGUCUGAUGAAGCAGUUUGCUUUGCAGGGGUAGGGGCAUCAGAAACCCAUCCACAAAAGCCUGUGUGGAUGUACACAGGGUCUGUGCAAAAGGGAGAGGGGUCAGAACAAGUGGAGGGCUGAGGACAUCCUCCCAGGGAUGCUGGCUGACCACUGAUCCCAUAGAGAAGGUGAAGGUGCUGCUGGUACAGACAGGCACCCACAGUGGCUGAGUUGUGCCAUGCAGCAGCCCAGGACAAAGCCAGAAGCCUGGCUGCAAAACACUGCACGGAGUUUACAACAUGUAUUACUGUAGCCAGCUCUUGUCCUGGUCAACAGGAUGCUUCUGCCCACACUAGAUCCAAGACGUAGUUCAGUCCCUGUGGCUUUAAAUUUCAUGUUCCAUGCUCAGCCUGACAGUAAAGGGUAAUUAAUUAGCACAGGGCUGGUUACAUUUUAAUUAAGCAUUAGCUUCAGCUGUGCUUGGGGGAUUGCUUGUUGUACCAGGGGGACUGUGAGUUGGGCUGAGACCACCAGCUCUGGGAUGCAUAAACAGCUCACAGGCGUGAGCUGGUAAUGGGAACCACUUAGCUGAGAUGCUGAAUGGCCAUAGCAUUGAGUGGUACUCAAGAGAUAAACAUUUCAUUAUGUGCGAGAGAUGCAGUAAAGGACAUGAGCAAGAUCAAGGUAAGAUACAGAGCAAUAACAAGGCACAGGACAAAAAUAGGAUGGUAACUGUGGAGUGGCUGGAGCAUAAUGAUGCCAGGUUUAGCAAGGUCUCUGAUCAGCCCUUCCUUUAUGCUCUGACAAGAGGGGAGUCUGGUGGCAGGGGCCAUAACUAAAAAACCAUUGCCAGUGCUUUGUUACUACUAGCUAAAGAGCAGCAAUCUCUGUGGUAUAUGCUCCUAGGUGUCAGGUUUGAAAAGCCCUCAUUGGCAUUUAACUAAUAGUAAAGAAUGAAUACUUAGCUUUAAUCAUGCAUAGUUGUUUUAAUCCAAGCAGGAAAACGUGAAUUGGUUUUGUACUAAGUCAUGAGCAUAAACUUCAAAUGGAUAAGUGGGAACCAGUUAAUACAAUUUAUUUAGACUUCUACAGGGUCUUUGAGAAGUUCCUUCAUUGGGGGCUUCUAAAGUUAGUGUUUGGUGUGGCUGAAAGGAUCAUAGCACCUCAUCCGAGCAAAAGGCUCUAUGUAACUUCAGUGCCAUCUCCUCUGACCAUCUCCUGACCAUCUUUAUAGCACAAACUGUUAGAUUUCCCUCUCCAAUCUUUGUGUUGGCAUGGGCACUUACCCCUCUUCAUCAGCCUAAUCACAUAAUUAGCACUCCUUUGGAAAAGGAGUUGGGAAAGCACUGGGAGCACAUCUGGCUGUGCAGCUCUUCUGGGGCUGGGUCAGCACGGUGGGGCAAAAGCAGAGUGAGUAAGACAGUAUGAGCGAAGCAAAUGUGUGAGAGGCAAACGGUGCGAAGUAGCUUUCACACGAGUACAGCCCUGAAAUGCUGCUUUUUCUGUCAGACACAAUCAGGUAUCUUCUCCCUGCUGCUGACUUCGGCUUAAGAGAGGAAACCAGUGAGAGGCCUCUCUCUAGAAGCAUGUGAGACCUGAGUACCAAUAAAACCUGCUAAAACCCCCAAGAGAAUGUUUAAGGUUGCAUUCUGGAUCUUAGCAUCCAUCUUCUGAUGGUUUACUGAGAAGGUAAAAGAUGUGCAGGAAGCAUAUGGCUGAUGUACUGCUCUGCAAGAUGCUGUGACUAGAAGUGCUGAAACACGAGACGCUGACUCAAAGGGAAAUACUCAGCUUCCUCUCUGAACUUGCCCAUGGCUUUCAUGAGAAGAGGAGCAGUUUGAUUGCCCUGGUGCUCCCAUCCUGCUGGACACCCCACUGGAUAGCUAUGGGAAGCUUCCAAAUAUAAACCUAACGCUCCCUAGCUGUUUGCCAGCAGUGGGCAGGUCUAGACUCCCUGAAUAAUUCAGAGAGGUUCUAAGUUCCUCUCGUUGCAAAUGGCCUUGAAAAGGAAAACAAGUGGUUGGUUUGGUGGGGCCCCAAAAUGUCCCUGAACGUGUCUCCCUUCCCUUCCUCUCUGCUAGCAGGUGAACACAAGGCUUCCUUUGCACGUUUCUGCUCAAUUUUGUGUUCUGUUAGCAAGGAGAGGUUUAUUUCAGUCUACCAGAGGAGAUCACUGAUGCCCAGAGGAAGGGCACUCUCCUUUGAGGCUGUACUGGAUUUAUUGCAUUAACCUUGUUUCCCUCUGGAAAACUUGCUUGAAGAAAGCCAGCAGCAGGUCAGGUCCCUCGUCAUAGCUGUACUUGGGGUUUGCAUUGCUCUAUCAAGCCUUUAGCCCUCCCAUUUUCUGUUUGUGCAUUUAAUUGCUCAUGUGCUACACAUCCAGUUUUGGACGUACAAAUUGAGUUUAAAAUGUCCAAGCCGGGUGUAAUGAUGAGAUUAUUACUGAUACCAUCAGUGCGGUCCUACUCAGUGUUGUACAUUUAUUGUCUGCAAACACGAAGCCCUUUUCCUACAGGAGCCUGAGGUUUCAUUUGGGGUUUUUAGACCCUGCACGUGUGAGCUUGAUACAAACGCUGUGCUGGUGCCAAACUGCUGCUUGUACUUGCAGAAUGCGAUUGAAGGAGACCCACUGAGGUUUUAGGGGUUGCCACCGUCUGAAGUGAAAUUGUAGGUCAAUCAUAUACUGCACCUAUUUCACGGCAGCAGCUUCAAAAUGAAGUAGAUAGAUAGCAGUAAAAGCUUUCAGUUAAUAAAUCCCCAUCAAUCAAACAAGUUGGCCUUGGUUUAGUUCUCAUCAUGGUAACCAGUUAUAAAAAUUAUUAAUGACCAAUCCUCUUGAUUUUCAAACAGCCGAGAGAGCAAACAUGGUUCCUGCAUGAACGCCUCCCCUCCGAAACACCUGCAGCUUCCUGUGUUCUGCAUGUUUGAAA
Molecule: long non-coding RNA, 4485 nt
Organism: Pezoporus occidentalis (night parrot)
Lineage: Eukaryota; Metazoa; Chordata; Aves; Psittaciformes; Psittacidae
Exons: 3
Source: RefSeq, a predicted model, not a curated record